AUUACUGCUAAGAAGGGGUUAGCAACCACUGAAGUCAUGCAUGUGCUAGAGGAAGAUGCUACAGUCUCUACCUGAGCCAUUGGUCAAUUGUCGUCGAUGGUUGACACCUUCCCAUUUUCACAGUGAAAUGAGUAUUCUAAAUGCCACAUCUUGUCACUGAGGUUCAUGAUCAAAUAGAUCAGCUAGCAUUGCUUAUUCCCUUCUAGCCUGUGACUGUGACCCCAGGGGCAUUGAGACACCACAGUGUGACCAGUCCACGGGCCAGUGUGUCUGCGUUGAGGGUGUUGAGGGUCCACGCUGUGACAAGUGCACGCGAGGGUACUCGGGGGUCUUCCCUGACUGCACACCCUGCCACCAGUGCUUUGCUCUCUGGGAUGUGAUCAUUGCCGAGCUGACCAACAGGACACACAGAUUCCUGGAGAAAGCCAAGGCCUUGAAGAUCAGUGGUGUGAUCGGGCCUUACCGUGAGACUGUGGACUCGGUGGAGAGGAAAGUCAGCGAGAUAAAAGACAUCCUGGCGCAGAGCCCCGCAGCAGAGCCACUGAAAAACAUUGGGAAUCUCUUUGAGGAAGCAGAGAAACUGAUUAAAGAUGUUACAGAAAUGAUGGCUCAAGUAGAAGUGAAAUUAUCUGACACAACUUCCCAAAGCAACGGCACAGCCAAAGAACUGGAUUCUCUACAGACAGAAGCCGAAAGCCUAGACAACACUGUGAAAGAACUUGCUGAACAACUGGAAUUUAUCAAAAACUCAGAUAUUCGGGGUG
Molecule: small RNA, 764 nt
Filed under: Pongo abelii (Sumatran orangutan)
Lineage: Eukaryota; Metazoa; Chordata; Mammalia; Primates; Hominidae
Description: processed transcript
Source: RNAcentral